RNAcentral lists this ribosomal RNA (859 nucleotides) under Aeromonas hydrophila. Its description in RNAcentral is "bacterial SSU rRNA". It matches the Rfam family "Bacterial small subunit ribosomal RNA", at positions 22 to 871 of the family's 1533-position model. The record is from RNAcentral. Lineage: Bacteria; Pseudomonadati; Pseudomonadota; Gammaproteobacteria; Aeromonadales; Aeromonadaceae.
GCUCAGAUUGAACGCGGCCGGCAUGCCUAACACAUGCAAGUCGAGCGGCAGCGGGAAAGUAGCUUGCUACUUUUGCCGGCGAGCGGCGGACGAUGAGUAAUGCCUGGGAAAUUGCCCAGUCGAGUNGAUAACAGUUGGAAACGACUGCUAAUACCGCAUACGCCCUACGGGGGAAAGCAGGGGACCUUCGGGCCUUGCGCGAUUGGAUAUGCCCAGGUGGGAUUAGCUAGUUGGUGAGGUAAUGGCUCACCAAGGCGACGAUCCCUAGCUGGUCUGAGAGGAUGAUCAGCCACACUGGAACUGAGACACGGUCCAGAUUCAUACGGGAGGCAGCAGUGGGGAAUAUUGCACAAUGGGGGAAACCCUGACGCAGCCAUGCCGCGUGUGUGAAGAAGGCCUUCGGGUUGUAAAGCACUUUCAGCGAGGAGGAAAGGUUGAUGCCUAAUAGGUAUCAACUGUGACGUUACUCGCAGAAGAAGCACCGGCUAACUCCGUGCCAGCAGCCGCGGUAAUACGGAGGGUGCAAGUUUUAAUCGGAAUUACUGGGCGUAAAGCGCACGCAGGCGGUUGGAUAAGUUAGAUGUGAAAGCCCCGGGCUCAACCUGGGAAUUGCAUUUAAAACUGUCCAGGUAGAGUCUUGUAGAGGGGGGUAGAAUUCCAGGUGUAGCGGUGAAAUGCGUAGAGAUCUGGAGGAAUACCGGUGGCGAAGGCGGCCCCCUGGACAAAGACUGACGCUCAGGUGAGAAAGUGUGGGGAGCAAUCAGGAUUAGAUACCCUGGUAGUCCACCCUGUAAAAGAUGUCGAUUUGGAGGCUGUGUCAAUGAGAAGUGGCUUCCGGAGCUAACGCGUAAAUCGACCG